GUGAACUGGAAACACCAAUGGACACACACAAAAGCGACCCCAACAAAAGCCUGCUCUGUCUAGCCGAAGGACCAGGAAGAGCUCUCAGGACCCUGAACAGCCUCUUAAAAGCGUCCCCACAUCUGAUCUGUUCCAUCCAGUUCCUCCUUCUCAUGCCAACCAGAUGGGUUUUUCUGAAGCCCCAAAACCAAGGAGGCUGCACGUCCCGUGGUCAGAAGAAUCUGGGGACUCACUGCCUCGCUGCCUGGAAUGGAGCAGGAGGAGGUAGACAGGCAGUCUACACAAGGAGAAAUACAAGAGGCACUGAGUAUAAGAAAGGAUGCCGGCCUCACUAGUCUCAAUUUUAGUAUAUGCACUGCCGAAGCUAGCACCAGCCUCACUAGUCUCUGCACCAAGACCUAUUACCUCUACCUGGCUAUAGGGAAGAGAGAAGGCAAAGAAAAGCACACACCCUUGCAUUUGACCCUUUUUAGGAUGUCUGCAAAGUAGUGAUGGAGAAAAAGAACUUUGGUGGGCUAAAAGGAGACAUUAUCCAAGGAUCUCCCCGCAAAAUUUGAUUCGUGACUUAAAGGGCCCCUUUGAUCCAACACAAGUUAUGCCUCCAAAUUUCUGGAACUUUGAUAGCAGCACAAACUCUUUUAUGUUUCCAUCUGUAUCACAAAUACAAUCACACUUUGUUUUCCUCUUGGGAUCAUACAUUUAG
This is a long non-coding RNA of Zalophus californianus (California sea lion), 703 nucleotides long. RefSeq lists it as uncharacterized. The record is from RefSeq and is a predicted model, not a curated record. The transcript is spliced from 3 exons. Lineage: Eukaryota; Metazoa; Chordata; Mammalia; Carnivora; Otariidae.